CUAGUUUAGAGGUGAAUUCGUAGAUAUUAGAAAGAAUACCGAUUGCGAAGGCAGCUUUCUGGAUCAUUACUGACACUGAGGAACGAAAGCAUGGGUAGCGAAGAGGAUUAGAUACCCUCGUAGUCCAUGCCGUAAACGAUGUGUGUUAGACGUUGGAAAUUUAUUUUCAGUGUCGCAGGGAAACCGAUAAACACACCGCCUGGGGAGUACGACCGCAAGGUUAAAACUCAAAUGAAUUGACGGGGACCCGCACAAGUAGUGGAGCAUGUGGUUUAAUUCGAAGAUACGCGCAGAACCUUACCAACACUUGACAUGUUCGUCGCGACUCUAAGAGAUUAGAGUUUUCGGUUCGGCCGGACGAAACACAGGUGCUGCAUGGCUGUCGUCAGCUCGUGUCGUGAGAUGUUGGGUUAAGUCCCGCAACGAGCGCAACCCUCACUUUUAGUUGCCAUCAUUAAGUUGGGCACUCUGAAAGAACUGCCAGUGAUAAGCUGGAGGAAGGUGGGGAUGACGUCAAGUCCUCAUGGCCCUUACGUGUCGGGCUACACACGUGCUACAAUGGCAUCUACAACAGGAAGCAAAACGGCAACGUUAAGCAAAUCCCGAAAAGAUGCCUCAGUUCGGAUUGCACUCUGCAACUCGAGUGCAUGAAGCUGGAAUUACUAGUAAUCGUGGAUCAGCGUGCCACGGUGAAUGCGUUCCCGGGUCUUGUACACACCGCCCGUCACACCAUGGGAGUUGGUUCUACCUUAAGGCAAGGUUUUAAACCCUUGACCACGGUAUAGUCAGCGACUGGGGUGUAGUCGUAACAAGGUACCCG
RNAcentral lists this ribosomal RNA (820 nucleotides) under uncultured Alphaproteobacteria bacterium. RNAcentral describes it as "bacterial SSU rRNA". It matches the Rfam family "Bacterial small subunit ribosomal RNA", at positions 670 to 1502 of the family's 1533-position model. Lineage: Bacteria; Pseudomonadati; Pseudomonadota; Alphaproteobacteria. The record is from RNAcentral.